UUUAAGUUAAACCGAGCUGAGCUUGGACAAGCUAAGCUUAGCUAACUAAACAAGCUAAACUUGAGUUGGCUAUAAAUAGCUUUCUCAUUUGAUAGCCCUAGAUGGAGAGGUACAGAUCAGAGAAUAGGUCUUUUGGAGGAGUAAAAUAUCUUGACUAUUUAUAGAAAUAUGUAAUGUGUAAUAUAUUAUAAUAUAUCCAUUUGGUAACAUAUUUAGUACUUUCAUAGUCAAGUUGGACUUGGGUCAAGCAAGUUCCAUAUGAUUUUUCAAUU
Molecule: long non-coding RNA, 272 nt
Filed under: Elaeis guineensis (African oil palm)
Lineage: Eukaryota; Viridiplantae; Streptophyta; Magnoliopsida; Arecales; Arecaceae
Description: long non-coding RNA (EGUI_LNC082164)
Source: RNAcentral